RNAcentral lists this ribosomal RNA (492 nucleotides) under uncultured bacterium. RNAcentral's name for it is "partial 16S ribosomal RNA". It matches the Rfam family "Bacterial small subunit ribosomal RNA", at positions 29 to 507 of the family's 1533-position model. The record is from RNAcentral.
AGUGAACGCUGGCGGUAGGCCUAACACAUGCAAGUCGAACGGCAGCACAGUAAGAGCUUGCUCUUACGGGUGGCGAGUGGCGGACGGGUGAGGAAUACAUCGGAAUCUACUUUUUCGUGGGGGAUAACGUAGGUAAACUUACGCUAAUACCGCAUACGACCUACGGGUGAAAGCAGGGGAUCUUCGGACCUUGCGCGAUUGAAUGAGCCGAUGUCUGAUUAGCUAGUUGGCGGGGUAAAGGCCCACCAAGGCGACGAGCCGUAGCUGGUCUGAGAGGAUGAUAAGCCACACUGGAACUGAGACACGGUCCAGACUCCUACGGGAGGCAGCAGUGGGGAAUAUUGGACAAUGGGGGCAAGCCUGAUCCAGCCAUACCGCGUGGGUGAAGAAGGCCUUCGGGUUGUAAAGCCCUUUUGUUGGGAAAGAAAAGCAGCAGGUUAAUACCCCGCUGUUCUGACGGUACCCAAAGAAUAAGCACCGGCUAACUUCGUG